CAACUUUUUUCGAAUGUAUUCGGCUGCUUGGACCAUACCCUUGUGACCCAACCAGUCGUCUCUCGGUGGUGACAAUGGUAACACUUCACCCUCCGCGUUCAAGUCCGUUAAUACAUCCUUCAUGCUGAGGGUACCUCGUAUACUAACGACAACCUUGAAAAGAGGCAGCAGAAAAUUGGUGAUUAACCGUUCUCAAGUUCGCUCGAGGAUAAAAAGCACCUCUUAAAUCUUAUCUUGAAAAUUAAAAUCUUCUAUGAAAUUUUAAUAAGUGCUAAACUAUUGAUUUUCAAUUAUCUCGAUCCAUUUCUUCAUUAUGCUAAAAUCCUCGAGUUCACUUUAACACAUUUAAUAGAUUCAUAUUUUUAAUAGAUGAGAUAAGAUCGGAUUAAAUUGGAUUAUUCGAUUAUCGUUUUGUCCAAUCGUUAUUAAAAAUUAUUCAAAGAUACUUAAGUGCACGCUAAACUCGAGAAGAGUUUAACAAAAUUAAACAAAAUAAUGCAAUUUAUUCAUUACAGAUAAAAUGAUCUUUGUACGAUUCUUUACAUUUAUUUAUACGUAAUAGCAUCUCACGGAUUUCGCUGUGACGAAGUUUAAUAGCUGUUGAAAAAUUCAUGAAGUCGCUAAACGAAGUUCAUUUAUUUUACAAUUAAGCGGACAAAAUUCCAGUUUGCUUUUAACCUCUCGGGAUGCUUAACGUGCUCCGUUUAAGGAUUGCAAUUUUCAUCGAAUCGUCGCAGCGAAUAUAUCGUGAUGAAGCUUUUUUGCGAGCACGUCGUAAGAAGCUUUCGACGUAAUCUCUGCUCUAUAUCUAAUCGUCUUUCUUUCUUUUUUUUCUCUUUUCGACGUUUCUUGGGCAAACGCGGUUCGAUGCAUGCGAAUCAAUGAGGAAACGCGCGAAACCUUUUUCUUCGUGUAAUCGAGAGCGACGAAGAACGGCGUCUCACCGACGUCGACGUGAAAAGUCGCAUAAAUGACCUCCACCUCGGCGACGUCGACCAUCUUUCUCAACGCCACGUAAUUGCACUGGCAACAAUUGUCUUCCACAACGGUCGCCUCGUCUUCGUUGCCACCGCACGGGAAACAGCCGCAUCGUAAUCUGUCACAGAGAGAAUUCCAUCCAACUUAUUUUAUUCAAAGAUCCUUUUACCACCGCGGGCGUUAAUUAAGAACCACGCGAAACAUCGUUGAAAAUCAAUCGAUGCCAAUGCACCCACAAGGCCGCGACACGUGUAUGUGUGUGUCGCUGUAACUCGGUGGUAUUACCUUGUGCACAGCUGACAAAGACCGGUGGAAUGAUUAACGAGGAACAUGGGCCAGCCAUAAGCAGCGAGGGCAAAGUGCAUGUAAUGAAUGGCCAACUGAAAGUGGCCCAGAUCACCAUCCUCGGUCAAGGACAAGAAUUUAGUGCGAGGAGUAACUGGCACACCGGAUAGAAACUCGUACGUAUCGUUCUUCCGUUGCUUCACUAUCAGCUCCCGCUCGAUUUUCUGGAACUUUCUCAAUAGCACCAAACCGGCGACCACAUCUGAUGGGACGACGUCAAGAUCACGGAAGAAAUCGCUCAAUAAUCUGGCGAUGUCCGCGAACGAAUUCUGAUAAAUAAAUAUCUCAUAAAUAAAUAUCGUUUUCCUUGGAAAUAUCAAA
Apis cerana (Asiatic honeybee) is the source of this 1644-nucleotide long non-coding RNA. RefSeq lists it as uncharacterized. Lineage: Eukaryota; Metazoa; Arthropoda; Insecta; Hymenoptera; Apidae. The record is from RefSeq and is a predicted model, not a curated record.